CCUACGGGGGGCAGCAGUAGGGAAUCUUCCGCAAUGGACGAAAGUCUGACGGAGCAACGCCGCGUGAGCGAAGAAGGUCUUCGGAUCGUAAAGCUCUGUUGUUAGGGAAGAACAAGUACGGGAGGAAAUGAUCGUACCUUGACGGUACCUAACGAGGAAGCCACGGCUAACCACGUGCCAGCAGCCGCGGUAAUACGUAGGUGGCAAGCGUUGUACGGAAUUAUUUGGCGUAAAGCGCGCGCAGGCGGUCUUUUAAGUCUGAUGUGAAAUCUUGCGGCUAAACCGCAAGCGGUCAUUUGGAUCUUGGGGGCUUGAGUGCAGAAGAGGAAAGCGGAAUUCCACGUGUAGCGGUGAAAUGCGUAGAGAUGUGGAGGAACACCAGUGGCGAAGGCGGCUUUCUGGUCUGUAACUGACGCUGAGGCGCGAAAGCGUGGGGAGCAAACAGGUUUAGCUACCCUGGUAGUC
This 465-nucleotide ribosomal RNA is filed under the name uncultured bacterium. Its description in RNAcentral is "bacterial SSU rRNA". It matches the Rfam family "Bacterial small subunit ribosomal RNA", at positions 338 to 795 of the family's 1533-position model. The record is from RNAcentral.